GACAAAGACAUGCUGGGCUGCAUCACCCUCCUUGUCACUGCCUUGCUCCCUGCGGCCCAAACGGCGCUCACCAUGGACCAGCCAAUGGUCUCCAUCACCAAACAGGCUGGGAAAUCCGCAAGGAUCCACUGCGAAUUUCCUCAGAAAAGCAUCACCUACAUCCACUGGUAUCGUCAGCAGCCUGGGAAGGCUCCCCAGCGCCUGCUCUACUAUAACCUCGACACAUCGAAACAGACGUUGGAUUCAGGAUUCAGUUCAGACAAAUUCUCUGCUUACCAAAAAAAAUAUCAAAACUGCAUCCUGGAGAUUGAGAAACUGGGCACGAGUGAUGCUGGCACCUAUUACUGUGCCAGCUGGGAUUCCACAGAACGCCAAGAUUCGUGGUCACACUUAGUGCCCCCUGCUCACACGUCCCAUGGUCUAGGCACCAAUACGUUCAUACCUGACUCUAAAGAAAUAGAGCCCAGCCUGAAGGACACAAGUUUGCAAGGGGUCAACCAAACCCGUUCUGGUCUUUUGUCCACACUCAAGUAUCAACAGGACACAUAG
Non-coding RNA from Tachyglossus aculeatus (Australian echidna), 549 nucleotides. The record is from the annotation of a RefSeq genome assembly. Lineage: Eukaryota; Metazoa; Chordata; Mammalia; Monotremata; Tachyglossidae.